Molecule: ribosomal RNA, 421 nt
Filed under: uncultured bacterium
Lineage: Bacteria
Description: partial 16S ribosomal RNA
Rfam family: Bacterial small subunit ribosomal RNA
Source: RNAcentral
AAUAUUGGACAAUGGGGGCAACCCUGAUCCAGCCAUGCCGCGUGUGUGAAGAAGGUCNNNUGAUUNUCAAGCACUUUAAGUCGNGAGNAAGGGCUUUAGGCUAAUACCCUGGAGUUUUGACGUUACCAACAGACUAAGCACCGGCUAACUCUGUGCCAGCAGCCGCGGUAAUACAGAGGGUGCAAGCGUUAAUCGGAAUGACUGGGCGUAAAGCGCGCGUAGGUGGUUCAGUAAGAUGGGUGUGAAAGCCCCGGGCUUAACCUGGGAACUGCUUUCAUAACUGCUGCGCUAGAGUACGGGAGAGGGUAGUGGAAUUUCCUGUGUAGCGGUGAAAUGCGUAGAUAUAGGAAGGAACACCAGUGGCGAAGGCGACUACCUGGACGGAUACUGACACUGAGGUGCGAAAGCGUGGGGAGCAAAC